Molecule: ribozyme, 115 nt
Filed under: Aedes aegypti (yellow fever mosquito)
Lineage: Eukaryota; Metazoa; Arthropoda; Insecta; Diptera; Culicidae
Description: drz-agam-1 ribozyme
Rfam family: drz-agam-1 ribozyme
Source: Rfam by way of RNAcentral
UGCUCAGCACCUCCUAUCCCUACCUCCUCUUGGUACUGGCAACCCCGGAGCAAUCUUGAGGAAGAUCGGGUAACCAACCCUGGUGGGAACUUUGGUCGUAUGCUGACAGGGAAGG